RNAcentral lists this long non-coding RNA (248 nucleotides) under Elaeis guineensis (African oil palm). RNAcentral describes it as "long non-coding RNA (EGUI_LNC043293)". The record is from RNAcentral. Lineage: Eukaryota; Viridiplantae; Streptophyta; Magnoliopsida; Arecales; Arecaceae.
ACUUAUGAUGAAAAUAUCAAAAAUAUAUUUUAUUUAUUAACAAAUCAAUUACAAUACUUGGUUGCUCAACCGUCAACAGCUUGAUGAUUGACUUUUGAGACAUAUUUUUCAACAACUCCCCCUUGUCCUAAGGCCACUCGGCACAGUAUCUAGUACCCAUCUUCGACUUGUGAUUGUCGAAAUCCUUUAUUGCCAAGGCUUUAGUGAAGGGGUCGGCCAGGUUCUCCUUUCCGUCGAUCUUCUGAAGG